AUUGAACGCUGGCGGCAUGCCUUACACAUGCAAGUCGAACGGCAGCACGGGAGCAAUCCUGGUGGCGAGUGGCGAACGGGUGAGUAAUAUAUCGGAACGUGCCCAGUCGUGGGGGAUAACGCAGCGAAAGCUGUGCUAAUACCGCCUACGAACUAUGGAUGAAAGUGGGGGAUCGCCAGACCUCCUGCGAUUGGAACUGCCGAUAGCAGAGUAGCUAGGUGGUGGGGUAAAGGCCCACCAAGGCGACGAUCUGUAGCUGGUCUGAGAGGACGACCAGCCACACUGGAACUGAGACACGGUCCAGACUCCUACGGGAGGCAGCAGUGGGGAAUUUUGGACAAUGGGCGCAAGCCUGAUCCAGCAAUGCCGCGUGCAGGAUGAAGGCCUUCGGGUUGUAAACUGCUUUUGUACGGAGCGAAACGGUCUGCCCUAAUACGGUGGGCUAAUGACGGUACCGUAAGAAUAAGCACCGGCUAACUACGUGCCAGCCGCCGCCGUAA
RNAcentral lists this ribosomal RNA (500 nucleotides) under uncultured bacterium. RNAcentral's name for it is "partial 16S ribosomal RNA". It matches the Rfam family "Bacterial small subunit ribosomal RNA", at positions 30 to 523 of the family's 1533-position model. The record is from RNAcentral.